UUAAGCGACUAAGCGUACACGGUGGAUGCCCUGGCAGUCAGAGGCGAUGAAGGACGUGCUAAUCUGCGAUAAGCGUCGGUAAGGUGAUAUGAACCGUUAUAACCGGCGAUUUCCGAAUGGGGAAACCCAGUGUGUUUCGACACACUAUCAUUAACUGAAUCCAUAGGUUAAUGAGGCGAACCGGGGGAACUGAAACAUCUAAGUACCCCGAGGAAAAGAAAUCAACCGAGAUUCCCCCAGUAGCGGCGAGCGAACGGGGAGGAGCCCAGAGCCUGAAUCAGUGUGUGUAUUAGUGGAAGCGUCUGGAAAGGCGCGCGAUACAGGGUGACAGCCCCGUACACAAAAAUGCACAUGCUGUGAGCUCGAUGAGUAGGGCGGGACACGUGGUAUCCUGUCUGAAUAUGGGGGGACCAUCCUCCAAGGCUAAAUACUCCUGACUGACCGAUAGUGAACCAGUACCGUGAGGGAAAGGCGAAAAGAACCCCGGCGAGGGGAGUGAAAAAGAACCUGAAACCGUGUACGUACAAGCAGUGGGAGCACGCUUAGGCGUGUGACUGCGUACCUUUUGUAUAAUGGGUCAGCGACUUAUAUUCUGUAGCAAGGUUAACCGAAUAGGGGAGCCGAAGGGAAACCGAGUCUUAACUGGGCGUUAAGUUGCAGGGUAUAGACCCGAAACCCGGUGAUCUAGCCAUGGGCAGGUUGAAGGUUGGGUAACACUAACUGGAGGACCGAACCGACUAAUGUUGAAAAAUUAGCGGAUGACUUGUGGCUGGGGGUGAAAGGCCAAUCAAACCGGGAGAUAGCUGGUUCUCCCCGAAAGCUAUUUAGGUAGCGCCUCGUGAAUUCAUCUCCGGGGGUAGAGCACUGUUUCGGCAAGGGGGUCAUCCCGACUUACCAACCCGAUGCAAACUGCGAAUACCGGAGAAUGUUAUCACGGGAGACACACGGCGGGUGCUAACGUCCGUCGUGAAGAGGGAAACAACCCAGACCGCCAGCUAAGGUCCCAAAGUCAUGGUUAAGUGGGAAACGAUGUGGGAAGGCCCAGACAGCCAGGAUGUUGGCUUAGAAGCAGCCAUCAUUUAAAGAAAGCGUAAUAGCUCACUGGUCGAGUCGGUCUGCGCGGAAGAUGUAACGGGGCUAAACCAUGCACCGAAGCUGCGGCAGCGACACUAUGUGUUGUUGGGUAGGGGAGCGUUCUGUAAGCCUGUGAAGGUGUGCUGUGAGGCAUGCUGGAGGUAUCAGAAGUGCGAAUGCUGACAUAAGUAACGAUAAAGCGGGUGAAAAGCCCGCUCGCCGGAAGACCAAGGGUUCCUGUCCAACGUUAAUCGGGGCAGGGUGAGUCGACCCCUAAGGCGAGGCCGAAAGGCGUAGUCGAUGGGAAACAGGUUAAUAUUCCUGUACUUGGUGUUACUGCGAAGGGGGGACGGAGAAGGCUAUGUUGGCCGGGCGACGGUUGUCCCGGUUUAAGCGUGUAGGCUGGUUUUCCAGGCAAAUCCGGAAAAUCAAGGCUGAGGCGUGAUGACGAGGCACUACGGUGCUGAAGCAACAAAUGCCCUGCUUCCAGGAAAAGCCUCUAAGCAUCAGGUAACAUCAAAUCGUACCCCAAACCGACACAGGUGGUCAGGUAGAGAAUACCAAGGCGCUUGAGAGAACUCGGGUGAAGGAACUAGGCAAAAUGGUGCCGUAACUUCGGGAGAAGGCACGCUGAUAUGUAGGUGAAGUCCCUCGCGGAUGGAGCUGAAAUCAGUCGAAGAUACCAGCUGGCUGCAACUGUUUAUUAAAAACACAGCACUGUGCAAACACGAAAGUGGACGUAUACGGUGUGACGCCUGCCCGGUGCCGGAAGGUUAAUUGAUGGGGUUAGCGCAAGCGAAGCUCUUGAUCGAAGCCCCGGUAAACGGCGGCCGUAACUAUAACGGUCCUAAGGUAGCGAAAUUCCUUGUCGGGUAAGUUCCGACCUGCACGAAUGGCGUAAUGAUGGCCAGGCUGUCUCCACCCGAGACUCAGUGAAAUUGAACUCGCUGUGAAGAUGCAGUGUACCCGCGGCAAGACGGAAAGACCCCGUGAACCUUUACUAUAGCUUGACACUGAACAUUGAGCCUUGAUGUGUAGGAUAGGUGGGAGGCUUUGAAGUGUGGACGCCAGUCUGCAUGGAGCCGACCUUGAAAUACCACCCUUUAAUGUUUGAUGUUCUAACGUUGACCCGUAAUCCGGGUUGCGGACAGUGUCUGGUGGGUAGUUUGACUGGGGCGGUCUCCUCCUAAAGAGUAACGGAGGAGCACGAAGGUUGGCUAAUCCUGGUCGGACAUCAGGAGGUUAGUGCAAUGGCAUAAGCCAGCUUGACUGCGAGCGUGACGGCGCGAGCAGGUGCGAAAGCAGGUCAUAGUGAUCCGGUGGUUCUGAAUGGAAGGGCCAUCGCUCAACGGAUAAAAGGUACUCCGGGGAUAACAGGCUGAUACCGCCCAAGAGUUCAUAUCGACGGCGGUGUUUGGCACCUCGAUGUCGGCUCAUCACAUCCUGGGGCUGAAGUAGGUCCCAAGGGUAUGGCUGUUCGCCAUUUAAAGUGGUACGCGAGCUGGGUUUAGAACGUCGUGAGACAGUUCGGUCCCUAUCUGCCGUGGGCGCUGGAGAACUGAGGGGGGCUGCUCCUAGUACGAGAGGACCGGAGUGGACGCAUCACUGGUGUUCGGGUUGUCAUGCCAAUGGCACUGCCCGGUAGCUAAAUGCGGAAGAGAUAAGUGCUGAAAGCAUCUAAGCACGAAACUUGCCCCGAGAUGAGUUCUCCCUGACUCCUUGAGAGUCCUGAAGGAACGUUGAAGACGACGACGUUGAUAGGCCGGGUGUGUAAGCGCAGCGAUGCGUUGAGCUAACCGGUACUAAUGAACCGUGAGGCUUAACCUU
This 2901-nucleotide ribosomal RNA is filed under the name Escherichia coli. Its description in RNAcentral is "bacterial LSU rRNA". It matches the Rfam family "Bacterial large subunit ribosomal RNA". Lineage: Bacteria; Pseudomonadati; Pseudomonadota; Gammaproteobacteria; Enterobacterales; Enterobacteriaceae. The record is from RNAcentral.